CGUAGGACCCAAGCGUUAUCCGGAAUUACUGGGCGUAAAGAGUUGCGUAGGUGGCAUAGUAAGUAGAUAGUGAAAGCGUGUGGCUCAACCAUACAUCCAUUAUCUAAACUGCUAAGCUAGAAGAUGAGAGAGGUAGAUGGAAUUCCUGAUGUAGGGGUAAUAUCCGUAGAUAUCAGGAGGAACACCGAUGGCGUAGGCAGUCUACUGGCUCAUUCUUGACACUAAGGCACGAAAGCGUGGGGAGCAAACAGGAUUAGAUACCCUGGUAGUCCACGCCGUAAACUAUGGAUGCUAGCUGUAAGCCGUAUCGACCCGGCUUGUAGCGAAGCUAACGCGUUAAGCAUCCCGCCUGUGGAGUACGGUCGCAAGACUA
Molecule: ribosomal RNA, 373 nt
Filed under: uncultured organism
Description: bacterial SSU rRNA
Rfam family: Bacterial small subunit ribosomal RNA
Source: RNAcentral